This 465-nucleotide ribosomal RNA is filed under the name Vreelandella stevensii. RNAcentral describes it as "partial 16S ribosomal RNA". It matches the Rfam family "Bacterial small subunit ribosomal RNA", at positions 338 to 795 of the family's 1533-position model. The record is from RNAcentral. Lineage: Bacteria; Pseudomonadati; Pseudomonadota; Gammaproteobacteria; Oceanospirillales; Halomonadaceae.
CCUACGGGGGGCUGCAGUGGGGAAUAUUGGACAAUGGGGGGAACCCUGAUCCAGCCAUGCCGCGUGUGUGAAGAAGGCCCUCGGGUUGUAAAGCACUUUCAGUGAGGAAGAACGCCUGGUGGUUAAUACCCAUCAGGAAAGACAUCACUCACAGAAGAAGCACCGGCUAACUCCGUGCCAGCAGCCGCGGUAAUACGGAGGGUGCGAGCGUUAAUCGGAAUUACUAGGCGUAAAGCGCGCGUAGGUGGCUUGAUAAGCCGGUUGUGAAAGCCCCGGGCUCAACCUGGGAAUGGCAUCCGGAACUGUCAAGCUAGAGUGCAGGAGAGGAAGGUAGAAUUCCCGGUGUAGCGGUGAAAUGCGUAGAGAUCGGGAGGAAUACCAGUGGCGAAGGCGGCCUUCUGGACUGACACUGACACUGAGGUGCGAAAGCGUGGGUAGCAAACAGGAUUAGAUACCCGUGUAGUC